GGAACAUGUUGUAGAACCACCGGCAGAGGUUAUUAUCACAGGCACCAAAAUCGGGGUGGCGGAGGAGGGAGGAAAGUUGGGAAUAGACAUGAGAGUCAUGGAGGAGAGAGAAGGCAAGGUCUUGAGAGGAGAGGAGAGAGAAAGGGAUUGUAGUAAUGGAGGAAAGAGAUUGGAUAGUUGAUUGGAUUUUGUAGGACUAAUCUAUUAAUGAG
RNAcentral lists this unclassified non-coding RNA (212 nucleotides) under Hevea brasiliensis (rubber tree). The record is from RNAcentral. Lineage: Eukaryota; Viridiplantae; Streptophyta; Magnoliopsida; Malpighiales; Euphorbiaceae.